GCCGAAGUGGCGGAACGGUAGACGCGCUACGUUCAGGGCGUAGUGCUCGCAAGGGCGUGGGAGUUCAAAUCUCCCCUUCGGCACCA
RNAcentral lists this transfer RNA (86 nucleotides) under Dehalococcoidia bacterium. Its description in RNAcentral is "tRNA-Leu". It matches the Rfam family "tRNA". From Rfam's summary of the family: Transfer RNA (tRNA) molecules are approximately 80 nucleotides in length. Their secondary structure includes four short double-helical elements and three loops (D, anti-codon, and T loops). The record is from RNAcentral. Lineage: Bacteria; Bacillati; Chloroflexota; Dehalococcoidia.